AAAGUCGUAACAAGGUUUCCGUAGGUGAACCUGCGGAAGGAUCAUUACAGUGCCCGGUCGCCGCCCCCUAAAGGCUGGCGACCGAACAGGCCACCCUUGUCUACCUUACCACUGUUGCUUCGGCGGGACCGUCCCCUUAGGGGGGCGACCCGGGGCUGGCUUAACCGCCGUCCGGGCGAGCUCCCGCCAGAAGACACUUAAAUUCUGUUGAUCAGUGACUGUCUGAGAUUAUAUUUAAUCAUUAAAACUUUCAACAACGGAUCUCUUGGUUCCA
Molecule: unclassified non-coding RNA, 274 nt
Filed under: Ascomycota sp.
Lineage: Eukaryota; Fungi; Ascomycota
Description: partial contains small subunit ribosomal RNA, internal transcribed spacer 1, and 5.8S ribosomal RNA
Rfam family: Eukaryotic small subunit ribosomal RNA (bases 1-47)
Source: RNAcentral